RNAcentral lists this small RNA (71 nucleotides) under Lysinibacillus xylanilyticus. RNAcentral describes it as "Bacillaceae-1 RNA". It matches the Rfam family "Bacillaceae-1 RNA". Lineage: Bacteria; Bacillati; Bacillota; Bacilli; Caryophanales; Bacillaceae. The record is from RNAcentral.
AAUAGAUGAACGAAGGCUAAAACCAUCACGUCCUGUGAUAACGCCUUCGUGACCAACAUCGGUGCUGUUGC